UACGAGGGGGGCGAGCGUUGUUCGGAAUUAUUGGGCGUAAAGGGUGCGUAGGCGGUUUGGUAAGUCUGAUGUGAAAUCUAUGGGCUCAACUCAUAGUCUGCAUCGGAAACUGCCGGGCUUGAGUAUGGGAGAGGUGAGUGGAAUUCCUGGUGUAGCGGUGAAAUGCGUAGAUAUCAGGAGGAACACCUGUGGCGAAAGCGGCUCACUGGACCAUAACUGACGCUAAAGCGCGACAGCAUGGGGAGCAAACGGG
This 253-nucleotide ribosomal RNA is filed under the name uncultured bacterium. Its description in RNAcentral is "partial 16S ribosomal RNA". It matches the Rfam family "Bacterial small subunit ribosomal RNA", at positions 524 to 776 of the family's 1533-position model. The record is from RNAcentral.